RNAcentral lists this long non-coding RNA (4573 nucleotides) under Nicotiana tabacum (common tobacco). Its description in RNAcentral is "long non-coding RNA (NTAB_LNC001063)". Lineage: Eukaryota; Viridiplantae; Streptophyta; Magnoliopsida; Solanales; Solanaceae. The record is from RNAcentral.
CUACCCCAAAGUUAAUUAGUCUAAAUUCAUGACCCAGAUCCUUUCAGGCCCAAAAAUAUUGAGCCCAUACCCUUUUCCCAUUUGAAACCUAAUUCCUACCCCUAUAUUAUAAUGUUAAUUCCUAAAAUAAAGGGCUAGAGAGAAAAAAUCCACCAGAAGCGGAAACCUCACCCACAGACACGAACGUCGCAUCAGAAAUGGCCUUUUAGAGUGGGUUUUUUCCUGAAAUUUCAGAACCAAUAAUUGAUUUGAUCAUCUUAAAUCUCUGAUUCCACAAACUCAAGAGGCAGAACCCUUUCCUCAACCUUCGUUUCCAUUUCCAUUGAUUCUGUGCAAAUAAUAACAAGUACUAUAGCUAGAAAAGAGGUGCAGAAAAUCUCGAGAUUUUGGCUACAAAAGCUGAUAAUGAAAUCUUGCUACCAUGAAUUGUUGUUGUUGUUGUUGUCACGCUGAGCUUCAUCUUCACUCUUUUAUCCAUUAUUCGGCAUUUUAAGCAAUUCGUGAUUUCUAGGUGCGUUUCUUUCGUUUUAUAUUUAAAUCUUUGAAAAGCAAUGAAGCUUCAAGCCCACUGUUAUGCUUUUGUUUGGUUUAGUCUUCGAUCUUAUUAACUGGCCAUAGACUGAAUUACUUGAAAUAUUUGAAUAGAUUUCCUGUAAUGGAUCGGAUGUGGUUGCUUUAUUGAAUGCCUAUGUUUGUAUCAUUUAUUUUCUUCAAAAACCGGUAGUAUGCAAUUUUAAGCUUGGCUUCAAGAAACAUGAGCUGCAAAUCGGCUCUAUAAAAUUUAUUUUCUGUGAGUUGUCUAUGUGAAUCACUAAGUGGGUUAUUUUAAUUAGUUAAGGCUUGGUGAUACAGCUUUGUGAUUCGAUAAUAGCAAUAUUUUGUUUGUUGUAAAUCGUGAAUCAGUGGAGGAAGUUAAAUAUUCAAGGCCAUCAUCAUUUAUUUAUUUAUUUUCUUUCUUUAGCAAUUGGACUCCAUAAAUGAAGUCUUUGGCUAAUUCUGAGAAUGACCGUGUGUAUACAUGUUAUACAAUUCAUAUGUGAUUGUAUGAUUGUUGAUUUCUAUUUGUUGAAAUUGGUUAUUAGUUAAUUCUUUUUCUUAGAAUAAUAAUUAUACAUAGAUAGGCUCAGAUUUGAGAACGUUUCCUACAUGCUACCAUGCCAAAUAAAAUCUCAAAUGUAUGGCCCUCAUUUAAUUAAUUUUAAUUCUUAGAAAUCGAGGCAUGCCAUUUAGUUAAAUUUUCCAUGGCCCUCGCAAAUUUGAAAGCGCGUAGUUGUUGUAGGCGCAUUCUUUUAAUAAUUUACUUUCUUAAACUCGCGUGCGCAUUUAUAUGACCCAAAUCCAAAUCUCAAUGAUGUUAAAGUAUGUCAAAGACCAUGGGUGCAUUUAUGUGACGUGGUUCAAGACGUGUUUUAAUAACGUUGCAAUCUUCCUAAAAAUGAAUAAAAGUGGUUAAGGUUGAAAAUGCACAUAGGUUUGAACAUGUACUAAAAUCAGGUAAUUAAGCCGAAUAUAAUAGUUGAGCGACCGUGCUAGAACCACGGAACUCGGGAGUGCCUAACACCUUCUCCCGAGUUAACAGAAUUCCUUACCCGGAUUUCUGUGUUCGCGGACUGUUAAACAGAGUCAAUCAUUUCCUCGAUUCAAGAUUCUAAACCGGUGACUUGGGACACCAUAAAUCUCCCAAGUGCCGACUCUGAAUCUUUUAAUAAAUAAUUCCAUUUCGAUUGUCACUUUAAGUUGGAAAAAACUCCUUUACACAUCCUUCCAGGGUGUAGGUAAAAAGGAAGGUGUGACAGCUCUAGCGACUCUGCUGGGGACCGAAACCAGAAUCUCUGGUUCAGGGUUCAAGAAUUCGAGCUUAAAAUGAAUUGUUAUAUUUGGCUUUAUUUGAUUCUGUUACAUGUUUGGGCCUAAUGUGCUAAGUGAUGCUUUUUGCCGCUUUGAUAUUAUCUGAACUGUAUAUAAACUGCUACGAAAACCCUUCUUUUCUCAUCUUCGGGGAUGUGCUCGUUGGUCAGACUCCCUAUUCUGUUAGUGUCAUACNNNNNNNNNNNNNNNNNNNNNNNNNNNNNNNNNNNNNNNNNNNNNNNNNNNNNNNNNNNNNNNNNNNNNNNNNNNNNNNNNNNNNNNNNNNNNNNNNNNNNNNNNNNNNNNNNNNNNNNNNNNNNNNNNNNNNNNNCUAGAAUAACUCAGCCUCAUGCCGGAUCCCUAGUAGACACGUUUGUUUGCAUCAUGUGCAUUUGACUUUGGGGACUCAACACAGGGACAGUAAGCACAGAGAGAGAUUCACAUGAUUAGGCAUAAUAAUCACAAUUUAAACUUGACUUGAAAUCUAGGCAAUUUAGCAUAUAGUUCACAUUCUUCACACAUCCCCAAUUUACCAAGAAUAGCACAUUGAACACAUUGAGACACACCUUUCAUAUAUAUUCUUGCAACACCAAAUCCUUUGAAAUAACAAAUACUACAUAAAUCAGAUUCCGGACUUACAACAUAUGCGGGGACAUCAUGGGAGCUCAAUUUCUAAGAAGAAGGGGGUUUUAGCCAUACAUACCUCAAAGAGCUUUUCCUUAAGUUUCUACAAUCCACCAACACCUCUAGCAAUAACAAUCUAUAAAGAGAUAGCGGGAAUCGAUUAAUAAUUAGGAAGAUUACCCAUGGUAUAACUCUCCUAGGAAUUUCAUCAAACACCUAACAUGUGAAGUAGUCUACAAGGUCUGAAAAUAGAAAUUCCUUCCUCCCUCAACCAAUUUUAAUAGGAACUACUCAAAUUAGUUCUUUAAUAUCACAUACUACAACUUUGUCCCACAUGCAUGGCCUAUUUCUAAUCCCCACUGUCACAAUUCCUUUUCAUACCCCCGAAAGGGGUAUAAGGGAGUUUUUUCCAAUUUAAGUGACAAUCGAAACAGGAUUAUAUAUAUAUAUAUUAGAUUCAGAGUCGCCACUUGGGAUAAUUUAUGGUGUCCCAAGUCACCGAUUUAAAUCCCGAAUCGAGGAAAGAUUGCCUCUGUUUUACAGUCCGCGAAACACAGAAAUUCGGGUAAGAAAUUUUGUUAACCCGGGAGAAGGUGCUAGGCAUUCCCGAGUUCCGUGGUUUUAGCACGGUCGCUCAAUUGUUAUUAUUGGCCUAUUAUCUGAUUUUAAUACACUAUUAAACCUAUGUGCAUUUUUACUUUAAAACUACUUUUAUUUAUUAUUUUUUAGGAAAAUUCAACGUUAUUUAAAACAUACCUUGAACCACACCACAUGAAAUGCACCCGUGGCCCAGGACACAUUUUAUUUAACGUUGUUGAGAAUUGGAGUUGGGUCACAUGAAAUGCACACCCGAGUUUAGGAAAGUAAUUUUUAUACUAGCGCGCCUAAAGCAACUACGCACUUUUAGAUUUGCGAGGGCCAUGGAAAGUUUGCUAAUGACACACCUCGAUUUCUAAAGAAUUCAAAUUAAUUGAGGGCCAUGAGUUUUGAGAUUUUAUUUGGCAUGACACGCCUCAAAUUAUUCUAUCAAAAGGAUUUCUAAAUUUAGUUUUGAGGGCUAUAAUUAUUGGUGUUAUUUAAUAUGGCACACCUCAACUAGCAAUUCUUUACAAUCUCGGAACAAAUUUCCACUAGUGAUCAAUUCCUUUCACUUGGAGUAACUGCAAAGCAAAGCUACCAAACGAACCUUCCCAACUCGACAAGAAUUUUGGACGCUCAUUUAAAGUAAAACCUCCUUUACAAACACUCAUGAGUAAUUAAAAUCAACUCAAGACCUGUUAGUGGUGUGCAAAAGAAUAUUGCUAAAAGAUUCUGGCACUUAGUCUUCGUAAUCUUCAGCAUGUUCUAAUAAAUAAUUUGCAGCUAGUUCUUCAUUGCGAUCACAAGCUAAAAAGGCCUCAAUGACAAGAGCUCGAUCAAAACCCAUGUAGAAUAGAACGUAGUUUAACUAGACAACCAACUACGGAUCUCGACAACUUAAUAUCAAAAGAAAGAAUUCAUUUAUGUUAUUAUCUUAUACCAAACACCGAACAAUCACAAAAAAUUCAAAUCUUCCACAAAUCAAAUCGAUUCAAACACUAGAUAAUCACAAAUAAAUAUCAUAAUCUUGACAAAUUAAACUCAUCAGAAACAAAAUGCUACUACUGCUCCUAGUACCUCAGACAAGCACCAGGAUUUGCUUUAAGCGACAGUUGUAGGAGAUUUCACGCUAAGUAAUUGAAACAACAAAAUAUUUAUGGACUCUGGUUGUUGAGAUUAUGAUCAGAUUUGUGGAAAACUGAUUAUAAAUAGUGAAUUCAUGAAGAUAUAAUUUCAAGCUUUCUGUUGAGGCAUUCCAUCGAACAAACAGAAACUAUAUACACAACAAUGAAACAAUAUACAAACAUAUCCAACAAGAUAAGAGGAUAUGACCUUUAUUUGAGCUUGUCCACUUUCAAGUCUUACAACAAAGUUGUUUACAGCAACAUGGCAUCGGCGUAAUAGCAAAAUUGAGAACCGGCACUUCGACUGGAACUCGACGACCCUGACCGGGAACCUCACCCAAACAGAAUCAACCUCGACCUCGACUGUGAAUUGAAAAAAAUACUCAACUAAACCAGAA